RNAcentral lists this ribosomal RNA (488 nucleotides) under uncultured bacterium. Its description in RNAcentral is "partial 16S ribosomal RNA". It matches the Rfam family "Bacterial small subunit ribosomal RNA", at positions 28 to 507 of the family's 1533-position model. The record is from RNAcentral.
GAUGAACGCUAGCGGCAGGCCUAAUACAUGCAAGUCGGACGGGAUCCAUUGAUAGCUUGCUAUCAAUGGUGAGAGUGGCGCACGGGUGCGUAACGCGUGAGCAACCUGCCUCCAUCAGGGGGAUAGCCUCUCGAAAGAGAGAUUAACACCGCAUAAUAUCAACAGUUCGCAUGUUCAGUUGAUUAAAUAUUUAUAGGAUGGAGAUGGGCUCGCGUGACAUUAGCUAGUUGGUAGGGUAACGGCUUACCAAGGCGACGAUGUCUAGGGGCUCUGAGAGGAGAAUCCCCCACACUGGUACUGAGACACGGACCAGACUCCUACGGGAGGCAGCAGUAAGGAAUAUUGGGCAAUGGGCGGAAGCCUGAACCAGCCAUGCCGCGUGCAGGAUGACUGCCCUAUGGGUUGUAAACUGCUUUUGUCCAGGAAUAAACCUAAAUACGAGUAUUUAGCUGAAUGUACUGGAAGAAUAAGGAUCGGCUAACUCCGUG